RNAcentral lists this ribosomal RNA (429 nucleotides) under uncultured bacterium. RNAcentral's name for it is "bacterial SSU rRNA". It matches the Rfam family "Bacterial small subunit ribosomal RNA", at positions 56 to 527 of the family's 1533-position model. The record is from RNAcentral.
UGCAGUCGUACGAGAGUUUUUAACUCAAGUGGCGGACGGGUGAGUAACACGUAAGAAUUUGCCUUUAGGAGGGGGAUAACAACUGGAAACGGUUGCUAAUACCCCAUAUGCUUUCGAGUGAAAUGGUUUUUCCGCCUAAAGAGAAGCUUGCGGCUGAUUAGCUUGUUGGGGAGGUAAUGGCUCACCAAGGCGACGAUCAGUAUCUGGUUUGAGAGGACGAUCAGACACACUGGAACUGAGACACGGUCCAGACUCCUACGGGAGGCAGCAGUGGGGAAUUUUCCGCAAUGGGCGAAAGCCUGACGGAGCAAUACCGCGUGAGGGAUGACGGCCUAUGGGUUGUAAACCUCUUUUUUCAGGGAGGAAUAAAUGACGUGUACCUGAGGAAUAAGCAUCGGCUAACUCCGUGCCAGCAGCCGCGGUAAUACG